Molecule: long non-coding RNA, 953 nt
Filed under: Homo sapiens (human)
Lineage: Eukaryota; Metazoa; Chordata; Mammalia; Primates; Hominidae
Description: HSALNT0388126
Source: RNAcentral
AGAUAGGAGUCAGGGCGCCUGGCCCGCAGGACACUAGAGAUCUGCGGAGGAGAAGGGAUGAGUCUGCCAGGCCCACCAGCCUGGCCCCCAGACCCUCCCCACCCCACACACGCAGACACGUCUUACAAGUCCUGUGAGAUAGGGGCUGCCAGCGUCUCCCAGGAUGUGGCCCACCGUGAUCUGAAGUGCCUCUGCCGUCCCCCGGCAUCUGGGCACCACCACAGACUGCAAAACAUAGGCACAGCAGGGGGGCACCCCAAGUGAGGGCACCCUUGCCUGCUGUUCCCCACCUGCCAAGGACCUGCCUGGAGGAGUGACAGGCCAUUCAGAAACCCCCCGAGAGGCAGGGGCUGCCCGAGGUAUGCAGAACGAGCUCCCCAUUGGAGGCGUAUGUCAACAAGGGGAUGGCUAGAAUUUGGCAAAGCAUUUAUGGACUGGGGAGCUUGCGGCGUGAGACCAGUGUUCUCAAAGCGUGCUCUACGGAAUGCUACGGCAGGAUCACUUGGGAAGUUCAUCAGAAAUGCAGGUCCCUGGACCCCAGCACGGACCCACUGAAUCAGACUCAGAGGACACAGGGCCUGGAAUCUGGGUUUGUCACAAGCUCCCUCAAAUCUGACUCUCAUGCACAAUGACGUCUCCAAGCCACCGGACCGGAGAGCCCCUGAGGUCCCUUCUCCAGAGAUAACCUGGAUUCUCCCCAUUGUGGAGAUGGCAUCAAAGAGAACAGUGUCCUGGACAGGCGCAGUGGCUCACACCUAUAAUCCCAGCAUUCUGGGAGGCCAAGGGGGGCGGAUCAUGAGGUCAAGAGAUCGAGACCAUCCUGGCCAACAUGGUGAACCCCGUCUCUACUAAAAAUACAAAAAUUAGCUGGGCGUGGUGGCGCAUGCCUGUAGUCCCAGCUAUUCAGGAGGCUGAGGCAGGAGAAUCGCUUGAACCCAGGAGGCAGAGGUCGC